UUAAUUUAAUGUCAGAAUUUAAUGAAAUGAAUUUAAAAUUCAUUAAUAAGAAAUA
RNAcentral lists this transfer RNA (55 nucleotides) under Asteromyia laeviana. RNAcentral describes it as "tRNA-Leu". Lineage: Eukaryota; Metazoa; Arthropoda; Insecta; Diptera; Cecidomyiidae. The record is from RNAcentral.